CCUACGGGAGGCAGCAGUGGGGAAUAUUGCACAAUGGGGGAAACCCUGAUGCAGCGACGCCGCGUGAGGGAAGAAGUAUUUCGGUAUGUAAAGCUCUAUCAGCAGAGAAGAUAAGUAAGGUACAUGACUAAGAAGCCCUGGCUAACUACGUGCCAGAAGCCGCGGUAAUACGUAGGGGGCAAGCGUUAUCCGGAUUUACUGGGUGUAAAGGGGGCGUAGGUGGUAGGGCAAGUCAGAUGUGAAAGCUCGGGGCUCAACCCUGGUACUGCAUUUGAAACUGUCAAGCUGGAGUGCAGUAGAGGUAAGCGGAAUUCCUAGUGUAGCGGUGAAAUGCGUAGAUAUUAGGAGGAACACCAGUGGCGAAGGCGGCUUACUGGACUGUAACUGACACUGAGGCACGAAAGCGUGGGGAGCAAACAGGAUUAGAUACCCUUGUAGUC
This 440-nucleotide ribosomal RNA is filed under the name uncultured bacterium. RNAcentral's name for it is "partial 16S ribosomal RNA". It matches the Rfam family "Bacterial small subunit ribosomal RNA", at positions 338 to 795 of the family's 1533-position model. The record is from RNAcentral.